RNAcentral lists this non-coding RNA (30 nucleotides) under Mus musculus (house mouse). Lineage: Eukaryota; Metazoa; Chordata; Mammalia; Rodentia; Muridae. The record is from RNAcentral.
UGAACACAUUUUAAAAACGUGCCUCGAAGA